UCUUGAAGAUGACAUGAGAAAUUACAUAUGAUGACAGUUUGGAAAUUGCAAACAUUGCUCAUCAAAUAAGGAACUCUUCUUAAAUGGCUGGUUGGCAUGUUUUUAAAAACCAAUUUCAUAACUGUUCCAGAGCAUGUGAAGGACCUCUCGAUCGACGUAGAAUAAGAAGAGGAAACCAAACCCUAAGGCUGCUGAUAUGGUCACAUGCAGACUGCCAGUCCCCUGACAUGAUCUUAGCAGGAAGCCUUUCUGCUCCCCGGUCACCUCAUACCCCCUGAGAGUCAUGGAUGGGAGGACUCGGCCCAGGGGUUCACCUCCUUGAUUCCUGGGUUAAAGAGACUGACACAAUCACACAAGACUGAUGUUUAUACUCUCCUUUUCUUAAAACCUGCUCCAACCCAGGACCAGAUUCAUGGGUCAGACUCAGUGCUUCAUUCUGAGAGCUGCUAAAGCUGUUAUGCAACUCUCUUUGAGAAAGAAAUCAGAAGAACAGAAGUUGAAAUUGAAAAACUGACCUGUCUCUUAGUCAUUCGUAAGCAUUAGAUCACUUCUCUACAGAGUAGGUCUAGGCCAUUCUUUUUAAUCUUAUGGCAAAUAUCUUUAAAAUGUUUAUACUGCUUUGACAUUAUUUUGUAUUUUAAACUUUUGAAAACAGUUCUCAUACUUUUUCAUGUCUCAGCUUUGUUAUAUGCCACCCAUUCUCUCUUUUGUGCAUGCCCUGUGACUGCGUCCCACAUAAAUGUUUGUGCCAGAUCAUCAUAUGCUAGUAUUGGCAAUUCAGUAAUAAAAAGAUAUCACUAUUUCCCAACUUUCUAUAACAAAUAUAAAGUAAUGUCACCAAGGAUAUAUAACUCUGAUAUAUUUUAAGCUAAGAAAGACAUCAGGAAAUAAGACAUUUUUGAAAGAUUUUUUAAUACCCCAAGGAGAGAGAAAAGCCAUGGGCUUUAAAAAACAAAAUAAAGAAGUCCUUUUUCAGAAAUGACCCAUGUGAGAACAUAAAUAGAAAGAGACAAAAGUAAAGGAAUUUGAACAGAAUUAAAGUAAAUCAAGAAACAAAGAAAAGGAAUUUAUAUAGAUCAGGUUACAAAAUUGAGGGGGGGAAAAAAGCCAGUAUUGGGUUCAAGAGAAAAAGAUUACAGAACAUGUUAUCCCCUAAUUAAAAAGAAGGAAUUAAAUAAUACAUGUAUUUUUAGACCUGUCUCAGGAACAAUGAAAGUUAGAGAGACAGGAUAUGGGAUAGGAGCUAUGCCAGGCCACCAAUCUGAUAAUGAAGAGGGAAUUGUGGUAUGGAGUUCGAAGGCCUGGGUUUGAUAAAAACUUCAUCACUUAUUAGCUGUGUGACCUUGCACCAGUCAUUUAAUGUUUCUUAAGCAUCUCUACUUCUGCAUUUGUAUGGUGGAAACUAUGCCUGCCUAAUGGUGUCUGGUGAGGGUUACACAAAGAUAAUACAGAUAAGUUUUAUAGACUUCAAAGACCUUCUGAAUAUGCAGGUCAACAACCCAUAAACACAAUUAUUUUAAAAUCAGACCUUGCAGCACCAAAUGUUACCAGAUUGUUCAUGAAAUAUAAUUCAUGAAGCAUCGAUUCAACCAACAUUAGUUGAGCACAUGCUAUAUGUCUGUGAAUGUGCU
Molecule: long non-coding RNA, 1631 nt
Organism: Manis javanica (Malayan pangolin)
Lineage: Eukaryota; Metazoa; Chordata; Mammalia; Pholidota; Manidae
Source: RefSeq, a predicted model, not a curated record